CAGCACAGGCCAUCGGUCGCCAUUCAGCGC
RNAcentral lists this small RNA (30 nucleotides) under Bombyx mori (domestic silkworm). Its description in RNAcentral is "ovarian small RNA-13169". Lineage: Eukaryota; Metazoa; Arthropoda; Insecta; Lepidoptera; Bombycidae. The record is from RNAcentral.